Molecule: long non-coding RNA, 1744 nt
Organism: Solea senegalensis (Senegalese sole)
Lineage: Eukaryota; Metazoa; Chordata; Actinopteri; Pleuronectiformes; Soleidae
Exons: 4
Source: RefSeq, a predicted model, not a curated record
ACGUGCAUAACGGGACACAGGCAGACAUAUAGUAUAUGAAAUCACUGCAACAAUACAACGCUAUACUUUGGACAUCACUUGCCAUAAAAGACAGAGUUGUGCACCAAGUGACAUGGAAAUUGAUCAGAUUUGUAAGUGUUUUUUUUUGACAUGUGGUGGAGAUUAAAGCUUCAUCAGGAGGAGAAAACUAUUUUAAAAAAGAUUAAAACGGCACUAUGUCUAAUUGCGAAAUGCAGCAUGUCAACAUAAUGCAUGUGGACGUGUGUGUGGACAUGAUAUUUGUUGAAUUGCCUGUAGAAAUAACAUUUAAGGUCAUGAGUCAUAUCAAGCUUUGUCAUCAUCAAAGUGAUCAGUGUAAUAUAUAAUAUACGUGGCAGUCUCCUCCCCUAUACACAUGUGUAGAGAUGUACACAUGCACAUACUUUAGAAUUAUGUCAAUUAAGUACACAAAGCAUUUUGUUUCGAGGUUCACAUUCCUCACUUCAAUGAACAUCUAAACUUAUGUUUGUGUGUCCAAGAAAACAAUUAAAAUAAAAGGACAUGAUAAAAUAACAGAAAAAAAAACAUCCCUAAUAGACUACAACCCCUCACUCGCCUCAUCCCCCCUCUCCAUCCUCUAUAGUCCCCCAUCAUCCAAAUCCUGCUCAGGGGCCUUAUAAAUCUAACAUCUAACACUUUGAGAUUGAACGUAUGAACCACAAUAAUUCUAAAAUCUAAAUCUAAAGUCUAAAAACUACAGCGAAACUUAUUUCUCAGUCAAAUAUGGAUCUGGAAUAAAUACAAACGGGAAAUUGGGCAGACAGCCCAUUGUAGGAGUCACUUUCUUCCGGUAGAUGGCAGUAGUGUGACGAAGGUGUCGCUGGAAGUCAAGGAGAAGAAGAGUCAGGAAACAGGAAGAUGUGAAAAGGUGACAGAUAAAAACUUUUGUUUUCUCUGCCACUCACCGCUGCAGGAGCGGCAUCUAAAUAAAGAAGCCGAACUCUGUGUUUGUACGGCUGUCACAGCUGUACAGGAAGAACAGAAGGUCCUGCCUCUGUCCUCACUAAGGCUCCUGCCUCCAUCCCUGCGAGUGAUACAGGCUGUGAUGUGGAAGCAUUAUGGGAAAGUGGAGAAGUUUGUGUCCUUGGUGACUGAAGCUGACUGGCUUGGCUUAAGAGCAAAGAUGGUUUUACACACAUUAUGCUCUGAACGGUCAAAAGAACUCGUUCAAACGCACUUAAAUGGCCUUCUCCUAACUUGCACAAAACAGACAGAAUGUGUUUCCUGUCAAGUAUGGCCCUUUGACACGACACUGGAGUCUCUCGUUUGAGUCUCUUCUUCACCCGACUGGAGGAGCUGGUGCUAAUACCAAACAGGUGCAUAAUUUAUGCCUUAAAACUGCAGUUUACAAUACAUCUCUAAAUGUCUCUCUCCCUCUGAAGUGUUAGUCUUGUUUUUAUAGACUGCAGUGUGGAUCAGUGAUAUGUCUUCUGUGCUAGAUGAAUACAUUCAGUGUCUAACCAACAUACAUGAUCUCAGUGUUUUGCUCAGAAGCAAGGAGCAUCAUGGGAACAUGGCCAAGAUGGAUUCCAGUGGUAUGUGUAUAUAGCUGGGAAACCAGCCAUGUAUUUAUGUGCUACAAUAGUUUUAAUCAGAGUGGAUUAGUUAUUUCUCCUUAUCUGUUUUGCUUCCUGUUAUUGACAUUGCUCACCAUUGAUCACAAUUAUAAAUAAAAAUGCAUUGAUCUAUUGAAAAAUAAAGGAGA